CAAUCGAACCCGGAGAUAGCUGGUUCUCCCCGAAAUAGCUUUAGGGCUAGCGUCGCAGCGAGAGAGCCGUGAAGGUAGAGCACUGAAUAUGCGAUGGCCGCAUCCCGCGGUACUGAGCAUAAUCAAACUCCGAAUGUCACGGUGUCAUCUGCGGCAGUCAGACGGCGAGUGAUAAGGUCCGUCGUCAAGAGGGAAACAGCCCAGACCAUCAGCUAAGGUCCCAAAGUGCAUGCUAAGUGGAAAAGGAAGUGGAGACGUGCAGACAACUAGGAGGUUGGCUCAGAAGCAGCCAUCCUUCAAAGAGUGCGUAACAGCUCACUAGUCGAAUGACUCUGCGCCGAUAAUUUACCGGGGCUAAGCAUGACACCGAAGCUAUGGACAGGAAUGUGGUAGGGGAGCAUUGCAUGCAGCGGAGAAGCAUGACCGGGAGGGCAUGUGGAGCGCAUGGAAGAGAGAAUGCCGGCGUGAGUAGCGGCACGUGGGUGAGAAUCCCACGCACCGAUGGCCCAAGGUCUCCAGAGGAAGGCUCGUCCUCUCUGGGAUAGUCGGGACCUAAGGCGAGGCCGAAAGGCGUAGCCGAUGGACGACGGGUGGAUAUUCCCGUACCCGAUGUGUGGCGAUGGAGUGACGGAGAAGGCUCAGGCAACCAGCUGCUGGAAUAGCUGGGGCAAGCGAGAUACCUGCGCACCAGGGAAAUCCGGUGCGCAUAAGGGGAAGGCGCGAUGCAUACGGAAAGCUUCGGCAAGUACGGAAAAGCUGAGAGCAGGCUUCCAGGAAAAGCUUCUAGCACAACACACAUCGGCCCGUACCGAAAAUGGACACACAUGGGCAAGGAGAGAAUCCUGAGGUGAGCGAGAGAACUAUAGCUAAGGAACUCUGCAAAAUGACCCCGUAACUUAGGGAGAAGGGGUGCUCCAGAAAUGGAGCCGCAGUAAAACGGCCCAAGCGACUGUUUACCAAAAACACAGCUCUCUGCGAAGGCGCAAGCCGAAGUAUAGGGGGUGACGCCUGCCCGGUGCUGGAAGGUCAAGGGGAGCUGUCAGCGCAAGCGAAGCAGCGAGCCGAAGCCCCAGUAAACGGCGGCCGUAACUAUAACGGUCCUAAGGUAGCGAAAUUCCUUGUCGGGCAAGUUCCGACCCGCACGAAAGGCGUAACGAUUUGGGCGCUGUCUCAGCUGUAGACUCGGUGAAGUCUUAGUACCUGUGAAGAUGCAGGUUGCCCGCGACUAGACGGAAAGACCCCAUGGAGCUUCACUGCAGGUUGACAUUGGGCUUGGAUGCAUGAUGUACAGGAUAGGUGGGAGGCUGUGAGCCGUGCGCGCCAGCGUACGGGGAGCCGCUGUUGGGAUACCACCCUUCAUGCAUCUAGGUCCUAACCGGAGGCAACGGGCCACGGGACAGUGUCAGUCGGGCAGUUUGACUGGGGCGGUCGCCUCCCAAAGAGUAACGGAGGCGCCCAAAGAUACCCUCAGCAUGGAUGGAAACCAUGCAUAGAGUGCAAAGGCAUAAGGGUGUCUGACUGCGAGACAUACAGGUCGAGCAGGGACGAAAGUCGGGCUUAGUGAUCCGGCGGAUCCGAAUGGAAGGGCCGUCGCUCAACGGAUAAAAGCUACCCUGGGGAUAACAGGCUGAUCUCCCCCAAGAGUCCACAUCGACGGGGAGGUUUGGCACCUCGAUGUCGGCUCAUCGCAUCCUGGGGCUGAAGUAGGUCCCAAGGGUUGGGCUGUUCGCCCAUUAAAGCGGUACGCGAGCUGGGUUCAGAACGUCGUGAGACAGUUCGGUCCCUAUCUGUUGUGGGCGAAGGAGAUCUGCGGAGAGCUGUCCUCAGUACGAGAGGACCGGGAUGGACCUACCGCUGGUGCACCGGUUGUUCCGCCAGGGGCAUAGCCGGGUAGCUAAGUAGGGAAAGGAUAAGCGCUGAAAGCAUCUAAGCACGAAGCCUACUCCAAGAUGAGAUCUCCCAUUCGCAAGAAGUAAGACCCCUUAAAGACGAUAAGGUAGAUAGGCCAGGGAUGGAAGUGCAGUGAUGUACGGAGUUGACUGGUACUAAUCGGUCGAGGACUUAAUCAG
This 2069-nucleotide ribosomal RNA is filed under the name human gut metagenome. Its description in RNAcentral is "bacterial LSU rRNA". It matches the Rfam family "Bacterial large subunit ribosomal RNA", at positions 830 to 2925 of the family's 2925-position model. The record is from RNAcentral.